UACGUAGGAGGCAAGCGUUGUCCGGAGUUACUGGGCGUAAAGCGCACGCAGGCGGUCUUGUCAGUCUGUAGGGACAGGGCACAGCUCAACUGUGUCAGGCUUAUGGAAACUGCAAGACUUGAGGGCUUCAGAGGGAUGGGGAAUUCCGAGUGUAGAGGUGAAAUUCGUAGAUAUUCGGAAGAACACCAGUGGCGAAGGCGGCUCACUGGACUGGUAUUGACGCUGAGGUGCGAAAGCGUGGGGAGCAAACAGG
This 253-nucleotide ribosomal RNA is filed under the name uncultured bacterium. Its description in RNAcentral is "partial 16S ribosomal RNA". It matches the Rfam family "Bacterial small subunit ribosomal RNA", at positions 524 to 776 of the family's 1533-position model. The record is from RNAcentral.